GUUACUGAACAUCUAUAUUGAUGCCUUUUUGUUUGUUUUACAGGUGACAGGAUAUUUAACUAGCAUUGCACAACAGUUAUCUGUCUUAGAAGGAAGAAACUGUAUGGGAAAACUUUUAUGUGAUUUACAACAUCAGAUUAUGAUUAUGGUUAGUACAUUCUAUCUUAUAUAAUUUAAUGUUAGAGUGAAUCUUCAUACAGGAUUAUCAAUUUAUGUAAUGUUUAUUUGUUGACCUGUUUAGUAUAAUCCUUCAUCUAAUAUUUAAAAAAAAGAGCUUUGAAAUGAAUAAAAAUUAUAAAGUGUCUUUCUUCUAUUUAGAUAUCCAAGAGUGUCCUAAGUCAUUAUACAUAUUAUAAAGUGUUUUUGUCGAGCCUUCGACUUUUGUUGAAAAAUUAUCUUAAGAUAGUAUCCAGAAGUAAAUUUUGUAAAAAAAAUCAAUUUAUUCCGUAUUUUACUUAAUGGACUUAAUCUUUCUGCAAGGAAACAUUACAUUCACUCUGUGGUUAAAGAUUUUAAAAUUUUAAUAUCUUUCUUAAACUAUUCUGUAUUUGUACCAAACUUGGACAGAAGUUUGUUUAUGAUAAAAAGGUAGCAUCUAGAAGGAAAUUUUGUUAAAAUUUUGUACCUGUUUUUCAGGAUUUUACUUAUAAAUAGACUUAGUUUUACUUCCAGUUAACAUAACAUAGUUUGCAUUUAAAGUUUUUAAAACAUUUAUUAGAUUCAUAAACUAUCCUGGAUUUUUACCAAACUUGGAAAAAAGCUUCUUUAAAUCAAGAGGAAUACAUUUAAUUAUUUUUUACCUCAUUUUUGUUGAGCCUGCGAUUAACAGCAAAAGUAGGCGAGACACCUUACAAAUUAUUUUAGCAUUUAGACAUUGAAGAGUGAGUUUUUAAUUUGUAUAUGCAUUUUAUAUUCAUAUAAUUCAAAUAGUACAUACACUGGUGCACUGUGGAGUUCAACAUCAAGUAGCCACAGUGUAUGUGUCUGUUGAUUGAUUGAAUUUUGAACAGCUCUAUUAUUAUAGCUGAUACAUAAGUUCCAAGAGAUAUAAGAACUUUAUAGCAUUGACUAUCUCAAGGUAUCCAACACUUAAAUUAGAAAAUAACCUUGGUGUGAAUGCCUUCAAAAUAUUCCUAGAGUUGUCUUUUAAUGUAAAAUAUACAGAAUAAGGAUUUUGUCAAAAACAAUGAUUAUUUGAAUCAGAUGGUCAACUGUAACUUCAUCAUGUUGUUCCAUAUUUUUUUCUUUAUUUUUUCCCUUUUUAAUUUGAAUGAAAAAUUGCAAUGUAUAAAGAAGAUGUAACAAAAUUUCUGUCUUUUCAGUGUCCCCUCACCAAACAGAUGAUACUGAACAUCCUAGGAAGUAUUUUAUUAGUACCUGUUACCAUGGAAACAUUUCCAUCCAUGUAUGAAAUACUGAACGAAGCUUUACUGAACCAUGUCAAUACAGUGUUUGACAUUAUACCAGUGUUCUUAAACUGUUCUAAACAUAUCCUUUAUAUGAAUCUAAUUAAUGAUAGUCAUGCACCAUUGAAUGGUACAUCCACUUGCUCAAGAAUUUAUAUAACUGAUGAGGUAUCUGGUCCCAUUUGGUAAGUCACAUGGAUAAUAUGAUUCUUUCCUGUCUUUGGAUUGCACACAUAUUUCCUAUCUCUGAUAUCUUUUGUUUAAAAUCAAAAAUAAAAACAAGUCAACAGUUUACUGUUUCUGGCAGGGUUUUACAGAAUUAAUUUCUCACUAUUUAAAAAAAAAUUAUUUUAGCUUAUAUAUAAAUAUAUAUAGUGAAGGGGAGAUAAUAUAAAUAUAUAUAUUGAAGGCGAGAUAACAACUUUAUCAAUCCAAAUUAGAUAGUAAUAUGAAUAUAGUAAUGUAAGAAUUGUUUUGUUUUUGUGCAGCUUGUUAUUUUAUAUAAUAAUUAGUAAAUAAACUGAAUAAAUUGUAGGCAAAUAUUUCCAUCAAAUUAUAAACUUACACUUUAUACAAGUAGACAAUUCCAGCAACUUAUUUAUUCAUAUUAUCAUAGGGUGAAUUUAGACAGGGUGCAGGAGGUUAGCAUCCCCUCCAAUAAAAUAAGAACAAAACCAUUAACUGACAAAAAACAUAUGAAAAAUGUUCAAGAGGUAUACUCCCAUAUAAAUUUUAAAUUCAGGAUCUGUGUUUGUACUCAUGUAUAUUAUAAAACGAUAACAAAGACCAAAAGUUUUAUUUUACUUUUAUAGUGAAAGACAACUGUGAAUACCUUAAGGUAUCCACCCACUAUUACCCAACCGCAAGAUAACCACUUCAGGUGUUGGUUCACCUUGUUCAAAUUCAUGUAUAUUAUGUAAGAGUUUGGCGAUCUUUUUUGAGCGAGGAUACAUAGUGUAUGAAUAUGCAUUUAUAUUAAGUAGAAUAUUGUAUCAUCCAUCUCAACUGUUAAUGCACUAUUCAUCCUAUUGCUGAUGAUAAUCAACUUAAAUCAGUAGAAAAGUACUUUUUGUAUAAUUUAUAGAAAAUGUACAUUAGUUUUUCAAGAAGUCUAUGUGGUAACAUUAAAAUACUACAUCCAGUUUAUUGUUCUUAUGUAAAGUUACAAUAAAUGCCUCAAUUUUCCUUAACCUACACACGUUUGCUAUUUUGGUUAAUCAAGGAAGGUGACCAGGAUGUUUUAUCCCAAAAGCCAAAUGUAACAACAGAUUUGAUUGGCUGUAUACAUAUGAUUGACAGGUAUGUAACAAUCAUAUUUUCACCAUAUAUUUGUUACAGGCUGAAUUCAAAAGCUUACAAUGAUGAAGAAUCUGUGGUUGUUAAAAAAAAAGAAUUUAUCUGCAACAAUCUUAUCAAAGGGAGAUACGUCUGUGAUGAGAUAGAACAAAGAAAUGUCAUCAAGUAUGAAAGACCAUUGAUAGUAAGCUGAACUGAAGGUUUUCUUCUUGUUUAAAGUUGUUUAUAGAGUACAAAAAACUAAGUUACAGUGUUUUUAAAGUGAUCAUUAUUUAAUAAAAUUGAGAAAGGAAAUGGGGAAUGUGUCAAAGAGAUAACAACUCGACCAUAGAGCAGACAAAAGCCAAAGGCUACCAAUGCGUCUUCAAUGCAGUGAGAAACUCCCGCAUCCGGAGGAGUCAUUCAGCUGGCCCCUUAACAAAUAUGUUACUAGUUAAGUGAUAAUGGACGUCAUACUAAACUUUGAAUUAUACACAAGAAACUAAAAUUAAAAAUCAUACAAGAUUAACAAAGGCCAGAGGCUCUUGACUUGGGACAGGCCCAAAAAUGCAUAACUCUCGAAUAAGAAAAGUACGAAGUUGAAGAGCAUUGAGGACCCAACUGAAAGGUUGUUCUGUGUGAUGAUUGCUUAUAGAGGAUAACAAAAAGUGUAGUUAAAGUGAUCAUUAUUUAGACAUAUAUUCUCAUUCAAUGUUAACAUAAUAAAUUAUAAUCUAAAUUUCAGAUUAUUUACUUUAAUAUCAACACACAAAGAAGAGUUUAGCAAAGUAGCAGUUUAUGUUGUAGCUGAUUAUGUUGAUCAUGUUCAUCAACAUACACUACUACCAGCUGUUAAGGUAAAAUUCUCACAAUGAUACAGUAUAUAUAUUUAUUCAGCACCUCAUUUUCAUCUACUGGUUCAUCUGAAAUUGUUGUUAAUGAUCAAGAAUUAAUUUUUAAUUAUAAAGAUAAUAUAUGAUUCAUGUAUAAAAUAAAUAGAAUAAAAGUUUUAUAGAUCUAUAUUGAAUUUCCUGCAACAUAAAACAGAAAUAUUUGUAUGAAAUAAUUAAAAUUAACCAUAGUAUUUUUUUUUUAAAUAUUGUUGAUGGAUUCUUAUAAUCUUCCAGUACAUACCAAUCAAUGCAGUAAAGAAGAUGAUAUUUUCAUUUUAUUAACUUUUUUUCAGAAAGCACUGGUUUCAGCAGUAUAUAAACUUUUAGAUAUCAGUGACAAGCAUGUACUAGCUCAGCUCCACACAGUACUGAAUCAGGGAGUUAAGGAGGUGUUUAAAGGACUUUAUAGUGACUAUUCAAACUUCUAUAAGUAUACUGGACGAGUGUAGGACUUUAUAGUGACUAUUCAAACUUCUAUAAGUAUACUGGAAGAGUGUAAUACACAAGAACUUUAUGUAUGAAUAAGUUAUACAUUACAUUGUACUUGAAUAGAUAACAUGCUUGGUAACUGUUCCUUGUCAUGAAGUAAAUUCCAGCAGUCAAAGAGAUCUGUUCUGACAUUGGAAAAAUGUUGACUGUUGAAGAUCAAUGGUGAUAGACGAAUUAAAGUAUAAAAGUACAAGUUUUUUGUGUUGAGGUUUAUCAUUCUAAGACUGAAAAAACUUUACAAUCCGUUUUGUUAUUACUUUAUUGUGUAAUUAAUAAAUUGUUGACCUCUUUAAUAACACUAGUCAGCAAGUAUUAAAUAACUGAUAGAU
This 4392-nucleotide long non-coding RNA is filed under the name Mytilus galloprovincialis (Mediterranean mussel). The record is from RNAcentral. Lineage: Eukaryota; Metazoa; Mollusca; Bivalvia; Mytilida; Mytilidae.